AGUGAACGCUGGCGGUAGGCCUAACACAUGCAAGUCGAACGGCAGCACAGUAAGAGCUUGCUCUUACGGGUGGCGAGUGGCGGACGGGUGGGGAAUACAUCGGAAUCUACUUUUUCGUGGGGGAUAACGUAGGGAAACUUACGCUAAUACCGCAUACGACCUACGGGUGAAAGCAGGGGAUCUUCGGACCUUGCGCGAUUGAAUGAGCCGAUGUCGGAUUAGCUAGUUGGCGGGGUAAAGGCCCACCAAGGCGACGAUCCGUAGCUGGUCUGAGAGGAUGAUCAGCCACACUGGAACUGAGACACGGUCCAGACUCCUACGGGAGGCAGCAGUGGGGAAUAUUGGACAAUGGGCGCAAGCCUGAUCCAGCCAUACCGCGUGGGUGAAGAAGGCCUUCUGGUUGUAAAGCCCUUUUGUUGGGAAAGAAAAGCAGCAGGUUAAUACCCCGCUGUUCUGACGGUACCCAAAGAAUAAGCACCGGCUAACUUCGUG
Molecule: ribosomal RNA, 492 nt
Filed under: uncultured bacterium
Lineage: Bacteria
Description: partial 16S ribosomal RNA
Rfam family: Bacterial small subunit ribosomal RNA
Source: RNAcentral